Molecule: non-coding RNA, 1845 nt
Organism: Saimiri boliviensis boliviensis (Bolivian squirrel monkey)
Lineage: Eukaryota; Metazoa; Chordata; Mammalia; Primates; Cebidae
Source: RefSeq, a predicted model, not a curated record
AUGACGGUGUUCUUCAAAACACUGCGAAAUCAUUGGAAGAAAACUACACCUGGGCUCUGCCUGCUGACCUGGGAGGCCAUUGGCUCUAUGGAAAACACUGUGAUGACAUACUAAGGAGAGCAGCUGGUCAAGAAGCUCAGGUGUUUGGCAAUCAACACAUUCCUCCCAACGCACAAGUGAAAAAGGCAAGUGUUUUUCUCAAUCCCGCAGCUUGCAAAGGCAAAGCCAGGACUCUAUUUUUUAAAAAAUGCUGCCCUGAUUUUAUAUUUAUCUGGCAUGGAUGUGACUACUGUUAAGAUAGAUUGUGACGGACAAGCCAAGAAACUCCUGGAACUGAUGGAAGACACAGAUGUGAUCAUUGUUGCAGGAGAUAGGACACUGCAGGAGGUUGUUACUGGAGUUCUUGGAUGAACAGUGAGGCUACCUUCAGUUAGAUUCCCAUUGGAUUUAUCCCACCGGGAGAGACGAGUAGUUUGAGUCAUACCCUCUUUGCCAAAAGUGGAAACAAAGUCCAACAUAUUACUGAUGCUACACUUGCCAUUGUGAAAGGACAGUUCUACUUGAUGUCUUGCAGAUCAAGGGUGAAAAGGAACAGCCUGUGUUUGCAACAAUCAGCCUUCAACGGGAAUCCUUCAGAGAUGCUGGCAUCAAAGCUAACAAAUAUUCGUAUUUUGGGCCCUAGAAAUCAAAGUAGCCCGCUUUUUCAGCAGUCUUACGGAGUGGCCUCAGACUCAUUAAGCCUCUAUCUCAUACACAGGACCUACAGAGAGAUCUCCCAGUGAAACAGAGGAGACCCCUGUCCAAAGACCUUCUUUAUAGAGGAGAAUAUUACAAACGCUUGCAUCCUACUGGGCACAACCACAGGAUGCCCUUUACCAAGAGGUGAGCCCAGAGGUCUGGAAAGAUGUGCAACUGUCCAUUGUUGAACUAUUCAUCACGACAUAGAACAAUCAGCUUGACCCGACAAGCAAAGAUGAUUUUAUGAAUAUGUGCAUUGAACCUGACACCAUCAGUGAAACCCCAAGCUGCACGCUAAGGCACAGAGUGUCUCCAAGCCAGCCACUGCACUUUGAUUGUCCCGGAGGGAGGAGUUCUUUUAGCACUGACAGUGAGGAGUAUGAAGCGAUGCCUAUGGAGGUGAAACUGCUCCCUAGGAAGCUGCAGUUCUUCUGUGAUCCUAGGAAGAGAGAGCAGAUGCUCAGAUGCUGGCAAGCCCCACUCAGUGAGCAGGCAGAAGGCCAGUGCUCCGAGACCACACUUUAGGCCACAGGUGGGACCAAAACAGAACAGGUGCCUCAACCAUCCCAACAGUGUUGACAGAAGGUCCCAAGGGCAUUUUCAUGGCAAGUAUGUCUCUGCCCCCCUCCAGUAGUGACUCCCAAAGUGUGCUCUGUCACCUGCUUUGCAAUCAGCUUCCGUUAGCGCAUGUUUUGUUUUGGUGUGACGACCCUCCUAAACACGAACUUUCCUCAGGCUAGUUCAAGACGGAAAAGGACUUUCUUCUGUUUUCUCCAAAAGUGCGACCACCGUGGAGAGCCCACAGUGGGCUUAGCCUGCCUAAGCCCUUCCAUUUCCGUUAUGUUCUUUGACCGUGCUAGGAAUUCUGGUGAAAGUGCCUUCCUUCCCCGGUGACCUUUACCUAUUUCUAGGCUCGUCUACGGGUGCUGCUAUUUUGUGAGCUCUGGCUUAUGGUGUGCUUUUAUUUCAGUUCUAUCCUCAGUCCAGAAAUGCAUGUGAGGUUUUUUUUCCCUCUUCAGCCAUGGCUGCAAUGCUGUAAAAUGCUAGUUUUUAUUUUUUUAAGUUGUGCUUCCUAAAUGGAUUGCAUGAGAGUCAACUGGGGUGCGU